This 253-nucleotide ribosomal RNA is filed under the name uncultured bacterium. RNAcentral describes it as "partial 16S ribosomal RNA". It matches the Rfam family "Bacterial small subunit ribosomal RNA", at positions 524 to 776 of the family's 1533-position model. The record is from RNAcentral.
CACGUAGGAGGCGAGCGUUGUCCGGAAUCAUUGGGCGUAAAGAGCGCGCAGGCGGCUUGGCAAGUCGGGUGUGAAAUCCCGGGGCUCAACCCCGUGACUGCAUUCGAUACUGUCAGGCUAGAGGUAGGUAGGGGAGAUCGGAAUUCCUGGUGUAGCGGUGAAAUGCGCAGAUAUCAGGAGGAACACCGGUGGCGAAGGCGGCGACCUGGUCCAAUAUUGACACUCAUACACGAAAGCGUGGGGAUCAAACAGG